CGUACAAGCAGUGGGAGCACAGAGCAAUCUGUGUGACUGCGUACCUUUUGUAUAAUGGGUCAGCGACUUAUAUUCUGUAGCAAGGUUAACCGAAUAGGGGAGCCGAAGGGAAACCGAGUCUUAACUGGGCGUUAAGUUGCAGGGUAUAGACCCGAAACCCGGUGAUCUAGCCAUGGGCAGGUUGAAGGUUGGGUAACACUAACUGGAGGACCGAACCGACUAAUGUUGAAAAAUUAGCGGAUGACUUGUGGCUGGGGGUGAAAGGCCAAUCAAACCGGGAGAUAGCUGGUUCUCCCCGAAAGCUAUUUAGGUAGCGCCUCGUGAAUUCAUCUCCGGGGGUAGAGCACUGUUUCGGCAAGGGGGUCAUCCCGACUUACCAACCCGAUGCAAACUGCGAAUACCGGAGAAUGUUAUCACGGGAGACACACGGCGGGUGCUAACGUCCGUCGUGAAGAGGGAAACAACCCAGACCGCCAGCUAAGGUCCCAAAGUCAUGGUUAAGUGGGAAACGAUGUGGGAAGGCCCAGACAGCCAGGAUGUUGGCUUAGAAGCAGCCAUCAUUUAAAGAAAGCGUAAUAGCUCACUGGUCGAGUCGGCCUGCGCGGAAGAUGUAACGGGGCUAAACCAUGCACCGAAGCUGCGGCAGCGACGCUGAUGCGUUGUUGGGUAGGGGAGCGUUCUGUAAGCCUGUGAAGGUGUGCUGUGAGGCAUGCUGGAGGUAUCAGAAGUGCGAAUGCUGACAUAAGUAACGAUAAAGCGGGUGAAAAGCCCGCUCGCCGGAAGACCAAGGGUUCCUGUCCAACGUUAAUCGGGGCAGGGUGAGUCGACCCCUAAGGCGAGGCCGAAAGGCGUAGUCGAUGGGAAACAGGUUAAUAUUCCUGUACUUGGUGUUACUGCGAAGGGGGGACGGAGAAGGCUAUGUUGGCCGGGCGACGGUUGUCCCGGUUUAAGCGUGUAGGCUGGUUUUCCAGGCAAAUCCGGAAAACUAAGGCUGAGGCGUGAUGACGAGGCACUACGGUGCUGAAGCAACAAAUGCCCUGCUUCCAGGAAAAGCCUCUAAGCAUCAGGUAACAUCAAAUCGUACCCCAAACCGACACAGGUGGUCAGGUAGAGAAUACCAAGGCGCUUGAGAGAACUCGGGUGAAGGAACUAGGCAAAAUGGUGCCGUAACUUCGGGAGAAGGCACGCUGAUAUGUAGGUGAAGUCCCUCGCGGAUGGAGCUGAAAUCAGUCGAAGAUACCAGCUGGCUGCAACUGUUUAUUAAAAACACAGCACUGUGCAAACACGAAAGUGGACGUAUACGGUGUGACGCCUGCCCGGUGCCGGAAGGUUAAUUGAUGGGGUCAGCGCAAGCGAAGCUCUUGAUCGAAGCCCCGGUAAACGGCGGCCGUAACUAUAACGGUCCUAAGGUAGCGAAAUUCCUUGUCGGGUAAGUUCCGACCUG
This 1444-nucleotide ribosomal RNA is filed under the name Escherichia coli. Its description in RNAcentral is "partial 23S ribosomal RNA". It matches the Rfam family "Bacterial large subunit ribosomal RNA", at positions 563 to 1990 of the family's 2925-position model. The record is from RNAcentral. Lineage: Bacteria; Pseudomonadati; Pseudomonadota; Gammaproteobacteria; Enterobacterales; Enterobacteriaceae.